AUUGAACACUGGCGGCAGGCUUAACACAUGCAAGUCGAACGAGUGGCGGACGGGUGAGUAAUGCUUGGGAAUCUGGCUUAUGGAGGGGGAUAACUACGGGAAACUGUAGCUAAUACCUCGUACCAACUGAUGAUCCCAAGUGGGAUUAGGUAGUUGGUAAGGUAAAGGCUCACCAAGCCGACGAUCUCUAGCUGGUCUGAGAGGAUGACCAGCCACACUGGGACUGAGACACGGCCCAGAAUCCUACGGGAGGCAGCAGUGGGGAAUAUUGCGCAAGUGGGGCAACCUGACGCAGCCAUGCCGCGUGAAUGAAGAAGGCCUUCGGGUUGUAAAGUUCUUUCGGUAGAGAGGCGUUAACUACAGAAGAAGCACCGGCUAACUCCGUGCCAGCAGCCGCGGUAAUUC
This 405-nucleotide ribosomal RNA is filed under the name uncultured bacterium. Its description in RNAcentral is "partial 16S ribosomal RNA". It matches the Rfam family "Bacterial small subunit ribosomal RNA", at positions 30 to 526 of the family's 1533-position model. The record is from RNAcentral.